AACGCGAAGAACCUUACCUACCCUUGACAUCCUGCGGAUUUGGCUGAGAGGCUGAAGUGCCGAAAGGAACGCAGAGACAGGUGCUGCAUGGCUGUCGUCAGCUCGUGUUGUGAGAUGUUGGGUUAAGUCCCGUAACGAGCGCAACCCUUGUCCUUAGUUACCAGCAAGCAAGAUGGGUACUCUAAGGAGACUGCCGGUGAAGAACCGGAGGAAGGCGGGGACGACGUCAAGUCAUCAUGGCCUUUAUGGGUAGGGCUACACACGUGCUACAAUGGGGCGUACAGAGGGUCGCGAACCUGCGAAGGGGAGCCAAUCUCAGAAAGCGCCUCGUAGUCCGGAUUGGAGUCUGCAACUCGACUCCAUGAAGUUGGAAUCGCUAGUAAUCGCGAAUCAGCGACGUCGCGGUGAAUACGUUCCCGGGCCUUGUACACACCGCAUAC
RNAcentral lists this ribosomal RNA (440 nucleotides) under uncultured bacterium. RNAcentral describes it as "bacterial SSU rRNA". It matches the Rfam family "Bacterial small subunit ribosomal RNA", at positions 958 to 1397 of the family's 1533-position model. The record is from RNAcentral.